CCCAGCAACCAAUCUGUGAGAUGUUAGACACUGGUUAGGUUCUUUUCAAUUUUCUCUGCCGGCCGGCAUCUGACUACACGAGCGUUAAAAAAAACAGUUUUCAAGUGUUUGUUUCUCGCGGUUCCCGUUCCCGAUCAUCUCAACAGAAUUAUUAAACACUCAGCAAGGCCACCAUCAUCAAUAAAGUGCCCUGCAAGAGGCGGAAGCGAACAUACGGUGAAGAAGCCGAGCGAGAAUGUUUGUUGGUGAUUUAUUUUCAGCAUUUUCAGUAACUCGUGAAAGUGAUCCGGAUAUUUACGAAAAUUCGUACAUGGCACUCAUCUGUACAAACAAACAUCUGUUCUCCGACCUGUACGAUGGAGUUGCUCGUAGGCCCAGUGUGAUGCCACUUCCGGUGUGAUGAUCGGCGAGGCCAAAACACUCGACAACAAAGUGAAGGUUUAAUAUGGCUUGUUGAAGGAACCGGAUGUUCAGACCCUAGUUCAAACUCCCCCUGAAGAAGAUGACGACAUGGAUCCGAAUGCUCCA
Molecule: long non-coding RNA, 528 nt
Organism: Armigeres subalbatus
Lineage: Eukaryota; Metazoa; Arthropoda; Insecta; Diptera; Culicidae
Exons: 3
Source: RefSeq, a predicted model, not a curated record